UACGUAGGGCGCAAGCGUUGUCCGGAAUUAUUGGGCGUAAAGAGCUCGUAGGCGGCUUGUCACGUCGGGUGUGAAAGCCCGGGGCUUAACCCCGGGUCUGCAUUCGAUACGGGCAGGCUAGAGUGUGGUAGGGGAGAUCGGAAUUCCUGGUGUAGCGGUGAAAUGCGCAGAUAUCAGGAGGAACACCGGUGGCGAAGGCGGAUCUCUGGGCCGGUACUGACGCUGAGGAGCGAAAGCGUGGGGAGCAAACAGG
RNAcentral lists this ribosomal RNA (253 nucleotides) under uncultured bacterium. RNAcentral's name for it is "partial 16S ribosomal RNA". It matches the Rfam family "Bacterial small subunit ribosomal RNA", at positions 524 to 776 of the family's 1533-position model. The record is from RNAcentral.